This is a long non-coding RNA of Quercus robur (English oak), 3066 nucleotides long. RefSeq lists it as uncharacterized. The transcript has 3 exons. The record is from RefSeq and is a predicted model, not a curated record. Lineage: Eukaryota; Viridiplantae; Streptophyta; Magnoliopsida; Fagales; Fagaceae.
UUAUAUCAUGAUUAUAUUUUAAUCGUUACACUGUGAUACCAUUUUGUACUUCAUUUAUAACAGGAAUUUCCAGUUUUAGAUCUUCCAAUAAUAAGUCCUUGCGUAUGGCUGAUUAUUGUUGAUGUGUCAUAUGUUCUUGUAGGGAGAUCGGGGUGCAGUAAACUUGCGGAUGAAAGGAUGCUCGGACUAUGACAAACUAAAGCAGUAAUUUGCCCCGAGUAUUGCAACUGGGCACCUUCAGAUAUGUUCAAUUAUACCUGCCUUGACUAGGAACGAAGAGCGUGCCCUGGAGGAAGAGUUUGCUAAUGAUGGUGCUGCCACCCAUGUUGAUGAUGAUUAUUACACUCCCAACUUGGAGAGUAUACCUCAGUUUGUGAAGGAAACUGGAGUUGAUGACCAAAACCAAGCUGCUAGCAAAUGUCCCAUGCAAGAUGCAAAUGCCGAGGGUAAGAAGGCGUUGAAGAAAGCAGACAAAGUAAGUGAGAUGACUGUGGCCCUAAAGGAGUACACCUCAAUGACAAGGGAAAGGUAUAGCGAUAAGAAGGGCAAGUCCAAUGGCACCUCUGAAGGAUUCGCUUAGUCUGCAGCUGAAGGUGAUUCUUGUUCUCUAGGGAAAGCUGUUGUUGUGCUUAAUCAAUAAGAGGACCUAGGGAAUAAGGCAUAUGUCAAAAUCUCAAAGGCUCUCUAGCAAAAGGAUAAUAGGGUGGUGUUUAUGGGCGUGCCGGAGCAUAGGAGGAAGGCAUGGAUGGAUGAUAUUGUCAACUCGGAGGAUUGAGUCAUGUUACUUAAUUUUUUAUGUUGUAGUCGUAGUAUAUGUAUUUCUCUUUCUAGGUGUAGACAUUAUAGCACUGUGGUGGUGUAGUAUGUGGUCUUUUAUUAUGUUCUAAACUAUGGAUUAUUAUGGGUUUUCUUUUUCUUUUUUUAGCUUCACAGUGAUGCUAUGUUGAAUUGGUUGCGGUUUUUUUUUUCUUUAUUCUAGAUAUAAUGGGAUGCUACAUUGAACAACUUGCGGUUUUUAUAUUGUUAGAUAUAAUGGGAUGCUAUGUUGAUUAGUUUGUGGGUUUUUUUCAAUGUUGGAUAUAAUGGGAUGCUAUGUUGAAUGGGUGGCAUUUUUAUUUUUAUUUUUGAAUACGAUGCUCUAUUGAAUAAUUUGAUUUUUUUUUUUUUGGAAUUUGGAUAUAAUGACAUGCUACGCUGAAUAGGUUGCAUUCUUUUUUAUAGUGUUUUAGUAGGAUGCUAUUUUGAAUAAUUUGAUGUGAUUAUUGGGAAGCGUUAUGAGGAUUUCUCAUAAGCAUGGUUAAAUAAUAUAGAUGGCACACAGAUUGAUGUGAACUUUGUUGAGUUGAGUUAUUUCCGUUUUGCUUAAUGCAUACAUCACAUACUUGAAGAGUGUUAUUGCAAUGUGUAGGUGACAAUGGCAUCAGGGGCUGAAUGGUUAGAUACAUUUCUGCAUUAUGACUUUGACGAUUCAUACUUCGACGACGUUAAUGUGGAUGCUCCCUCUGGAUUUACUGACGAAGAGAACUCAGAUUCAGAGUGUGAUAGCAAAGAUGAAGCAAAGUGUGAUAGCGAAGAUGAAGUAGAAUUUGAUUUUGUGAAUCCUAUAGUCAGGGAGAUGUUUGCCUAUAUGCAACAACAAUAUGAUAAAUAGCCCAUACAUACAAGUGUCCUGACGGGGAAUGGAUACAUGGAAGAACUGGAAGAAGGUAAUCCUAAGAAGUGUUCUGAGCUGUUUCACAUGACACGCCAAUUGCUGCUUCAUUUAGUGGAUGAAUUGCAUGGCUAUGGUUAUUUGAUAGAUAGGCAGGGUGAUGUAGCUUGCACACAGGCAGUAGCCAUGUUUUUGUACAUAAUUGGUUACAACACCCAAAUGAGAUGUGUUGCAGACAGGUUUCAACACUCAACUGAAAUGAUCUUACACCACUUCCGCAGGGUGUUGCGAGUUGUUCACUCAUAUGCAAAACACCUGAUUAAAUUGGAUCCAAAUGUAGAUGGCCUCCUCAAACAUCUUCAAGUGAACAAGUAUUGGCCAUGGUUCAAGAAAUGUGUUGGGACAAUUGAUGGCACCCAGGUCAGUGCUCAGCUCCCUUUAAACGAGACGUAAGCGUAUAGGAGCCACAAGUCUAUCGUAAUCACAAAUGUAUUGUGUGUGUGUGUAACAUGGAUAUGCAGUUCACUUAUGUUCAUGCUGGGUGGGAGGAUAGUGCUAAUGACUCGUGGGUGUUGGAUGAAGUGAUUAGUGACCCGAAGCAUGGAUUCCCAUGGCCACCAAUAGGGUCAUACUACUUGGUGGAUUCGGACUUCCCUAUUGGCACUAGUUUCCUUCCACCGCAUAAGUUAACUAGGUACCAUGCUCAAGAGUUCCGUUCAAGUAAUAAACAACCAUCAACAAAGAAAGAGUUGUACAACUAUAGGCACUCCUCGUUGCGGAUGGUUAUUGAGCGAUUAUUUGGAGUGCUGAAGUCUCGUUUCCCUAUUCUCAAUUUAAUGCCAAACUUCAAGCGUAGUAGGCAGCGUUAUGUGAUUGUUGCGUGCUGUGCUCUUCACAAUUUCAUACGCAUGAAUAACCAGGGUGAUGAACUCUUCCACACUUAGGCACUGCCACAGGUUGAAGGAACUUCCAACAGUGGCCUCCCCAACCAUAACACCAAAGCAUCUAGUAGUACUGCAACCCAAAGGCAUGUACUAGAAAUGUCAGAGGUAGCGAAAAGACUAAUGACCUAGUUUAGGGAUGACAUCACUGAUGCUAUGUGGCCUGAUUACGUGGCCUGCUGGCAUUGAUUGACCACAUUUUUAUUUUGUAUGGAAUUUAUCUUAGGUAAUGUUGUAUGGAAUUUAUCAUAGGAAUGUUGCAGCGUUAGUUCAACUAUUUCAAAACCUUCACUCAUAGGAGGAUUAUGUUGUAUGGAAUUUAUCAUAUGAAAUGUUGCAACUUUACUUAUUUUCAUUUUGGAACCUACAUAUUAUGGAGGACUAUAUUGGACUGAAGUUAUGUACAGAAAUGUUGCACCGUUUCUUCAAAUAUAAAUGAAGCCUAAAUGCAAAGGAGGAUUAUGUUGUAUGGUA